GAUGAACGCUGGCGGCGUGCCUAAUACAUGCGAGUCGAGCGAACGGACGAGAAGCUUGCUUCUCUGAUGUUAGCGGCGGACGGGUGAGUAACACGUGUAUAACCUACCUAUAAGACUGGGAUAACUUCGGGAAACCGGAGCUAAUACCGGAUAAUAUUUUGAACCGCAUGGUUCAAAAGUGAAAGACGGUCUUGCUGUCACUUAUAGAUGGAUCCGCGCUGCAUUAGCUAGUUGGUAAGGUAACGGCUUACCAAGGCAACGAUGCAUAGCCGACCUGAGAGGGUGAUCGGCCACACUGGAACUGAGACACGGUCCAGACUCCUACGGGAGGCAGCAGUAGGGAAUCUUCCGCAAUGGGCGAAAGCCUGACGGAGCAACGCCGCGUGAGUGAUGAAGGUCUUCGGAUCGUAAAACUCUGUUAUUAGGGAAGAACAUAUGUGUAAGUAACUGUGCACAUCUUGACGGUACCUAAUCAGAAAGCCACGGCUAACUACGUG
Molecule: ribosomal RNA, 497 nt
Filed under: uncultured bacterium
Lineage: Bacteria
Description: partial 16S ribosomal RNA
Rfam family: Bacterial small subunit ribosomal RNA
Source: RNAcentral